GCUCAGUUGGUAGAGUUCUUGCCUAGUAUGUAUGGAGCCCUGGGUUUAAUGUCUGCACCACGCAAAUUAGGCAUAGAGGUAAUGCCCGUGAGCCCAGCUGUUGAUGAGUGGAGGGCUACAUCACCAGUGUUACCUGUGGAAGAUUGAGAGCUUGGAUAAGAACAGUGCAAAUGAACAAAGGCAUGGAAAACAGCAACCAAGAUACUAUGCAACCAUCAACAUGGCAUGUUGGUAGAUUCAAGGUGUCCUGAAGCCACAAACAACUACCAGCAAAUCACCCCAGUCACCGGAUGAAAGUGAAGUAGCCUAAACCGAGUGAAACAGACACUAGUCACCAAGACAAAUGCGUGCCAAGGGCAAAUGAACUUCCCUGCAGGUCAGCAGCUCCAUCUUCGUAUGCACCUCACAUGAUACAGUGACACCCAAUAACAUCGUCAGAGAUGCUUCACACUGACUCAGCUCCUCAGAGGACCAAGAUGCUGAGAUGGUAUAAGCACAACCCCAGUGUUGACCCAGGAGGAUGGCUAGUAAGAUGCUAAGCUUGCAGGAAACCCGAGUUCCAGGGCUUCAUCUUCCAUUCACUGGGUAAACUCGCUCAGAGAACAGCACUAGACCUCUCCCACGUAGUAUGAAAAAUGAGAAAUAAUCCCUACUGCCUAUAUUCACUUAGAAUAAUUCAAAUAAAAGCUGUUUAAUCUUGGGAGCACAGUACAGGUA
Peromyscus eremicus (cactus mouse) is the source of this 717-nucleotide long non-coding RNA. RefSeq lists it as uncharacterized. The transcript has 3 exons. NCBI's taxonomy places the organism in Eukaryota, Metazoa, Chordata, Mammalia, Rodentia, Cricetidae. The record is from RefSeq and is a predicted model, not a curated record.